CGGUCUGGUGGGGGCUACCGGUCUGGUGGGGGAGGUGGAUACUGGAUUGGAGUGAUCGGUAGGGAUGGAGGGUGUGUAAGUGGAGAGAGCCCUCACCCUAUUACCCAGGAAGGGCACUUCACACUGGACUCACCCCACCCAGAGAUGCCCAUCCACCUCUGCCCAGCCCUGCCUUUCUCCCCUGCUGCCACACGGAGGCGACAGAGCAACCCUUCCACAGCUGCCUCUGGACGUUCUCCCAUCAGCAACGUGGAUGGGUGGCUGAGGUGGGAUCUGUGCCUUCUGCAGAUGAUCCCGGCCUGGUGAUGGCCCUCUUUUGGGCUGAGACUCCUCACGCGGAAGAUGAUGGAGGUGGAUGUUAGCCCUGCAGGAGGCAGCUCACCACCCACGAGGAGGGACUUAGGCAGCGGACUUGCUGAGGGGUAAGGGUCUGCCCCAUGAUGCCUCACAGCUCCACCUUCUGGGAGCCACCCACGUGUGGGCAGCCUCAGGGGACUCCAGCUCCAGGAGCAAGAUCGGGUUGUGGAUGGAGGAAGGGUUGCAGAUGCCAUCAAAGCUGUUGCUUCUCUGUGAACUGCAGCAGACUUUGCCCGGAGCAGUAAACUGUGGACGGAGGAAGGGAAGCAGGAAGGCAGGAUUCCAUCCAAGGUGCCACGUUACACUUAAACAUCAUGCCUCCAUCCUUUCUUCCUGGUCUGAGAGAGUUGCUCAGACUCUCCUGGUUUUUGAUGAUCUUGAGAGUUUUGAGUAUUCAUCAUCAGGCUGGCACCCAGCACUGUGCUAUCCUAGGAAGAAACAGCUAAAUCCCAAUGAAAGGUAAGGAUUUUUGUCAGAAAGAUUAGCUUAAAUCAACAGGGUAUAAUUUAACUGGCUGGCUUGUAAAAACCCAGGAAAAGGUUUUGUGCCUUUAUGGUGAAUGAAAAAAAGGCAGGAUACACAAUUGUAUUAUACAUUAUGACCAGGUUAAAAUGCCUAGAAAACCUUAGUAUCAAACACAACAAAAUCUUAAUGUCAGUUACCUGUGUGAAUCAGGACUGUCAGGAUUUUUUAUUUUCUGUUUUAUAUUUUUCUGUAUUUUUCAAGUACUCUGCAAUGAAGAGGUGUUAUUUCUAGCGUCAGAAAAACAAAAUCCUUUGUUUAGUACUUGAGAACUAAUUGAACUGUGGGCCCCACCCCCUUCCCUACUCUGUGUUUCUUCUGGGCCCCUGGAUCUCCC
RNAcentral lists this long non-coding RNA (1216 nucleotides) under Homo sapiens (human). RNAcentral describes it as "HSALNT0178073". The record is from RNAcentral. Lineage: Eukaryota; Metazoa; Chordata; Mammalia; Primates; Hominidae.